UAUAUAUAUAUAAGUAUAUAAGUAUAAGUCUUGAUUAAAAACUUGACGUUCACGCAUAUAAUACUUGACACUGUUAUUAUUAUACUCAACAUGUGUCUCAUUCGCGGGCAUAUUACAAUUUACAAGUACCUAAUACCUACCUAGAUAUACAUUAUAUAUUAUCUAGUUUUGCAUUUAGUACCUAAUCUUUAAGUCACAUACAUACCAGAUGUUUAGCUUUAAAUGUUGGUCUUAACACUAAUAGAGAUAACCUUCACUCGUAUUGAUGGUUGUUACUUCAUAACAUUCAAUUCAAUAUAGUAUAAUACAGUAAUAUACCUAGUAUUAUAACUUAAAUUGAAAUGUUGUCAGGAGGCACUCUUUCGAUUUGAUAUCAAAUAAAAUAUGAAUACCUAAUACCUAGUAAAAAACCGUUGAAGUACAGAACUCGACUGGAUAUACAUCCUCUUCAAGUAAUAUCAUAAAUUCGUUUAUAGUAUAACUCAUGACUUAUAGUUUACAUUGGCAAUAUUAGUUAUUUUUAAAGGAACAAAUCCUAAACAAUAAGUGGUAACAAUUACAGAUAUUUGGCAACACAUUCUAAAUGCUAUUGUCCUUCCCGUAACUAGAGAAAUAGUUCCAGCAAACACAUUGAAAUACAUA
This is a non-coding RNA of Cinara cedri, 642 nucleotides long. The record is from the annotation of a GenBank genome assembly. NCBI's taxonomy places the organism in Eukaryota, Metazoa, Arthropoda, Insecta, Hemiptera, Aphididae.